CGGUCUUCUGGGUAAAACCUGGCCGCCGUUUCUGCGACCCUUCCGGAGCCUCCGAAAACAAAGAAUUGGUGGUGUCGUCAAAAGCUGUGCAGGCUGCAGGUAAGAUAACUACCAGGCCAACUAGGGCGGGACUCACGAAUUAAGUACCACAACCCUACAAGGUAUUGGGGCUUCCUGCUUGCAGCGCACGAACCAUUUACUGUAACCAUCCUUUUCUUGGGGUUGCGCUACUGUCCAAUGAGCGCAUAGUGAGGGCAGUACUGCUAACGCCUAAACAACACACUCGCAUCAACUGAAGUUCUGCUUUACGUUGGUGCAAUUUUUGGAAAAAACGAAAACCCUUCAAUAACAGUAAACCAUGGAUAAAUAUAAUACAGUAUGAAGUGGGGGGAGUAACUGCAUCCAGCAGAGCCAGUGGAGGUCACCAUCAAGUACACUUGAUAUGGUGUUAUGAAAACGGCAUUUUGCCUCUGUGAUAGUCCUUACUAAAACCCCUAAGCCCAGUCUAAGCAUAAGAGAGGA
Molecule: long non-coding RNA, 522 nt
Organism: Sapajus apella (tufted capuchin)
Lineage: Eukaryota; Metazoa; Chordata; Mammalia; Primates; Cebidae
Exons: 2
Source: RefSeq, a predicted model, not a curated record